Molecule: long non-coding RNA, 1734 nt
Organism: Magallana angulata
Lineage: Eukaryota; Metazoa; Mollusca; Bivalvia; Ostreida; Ostreidae
Exons: 5
Source: RefSeq, a predicted model, not a curated record
UGGAAAUUUCUAUCCCUUUACGAUUGAGAACUUGUAAUUUUAGAAUAAAAAAUCUAAAUUGGUGAGGGUUUUUUUUUCAUUCUGCAAAAUGUUUGCACAAAAAAUAUUGUUACUAAUACAACGAAGUGGUGAAUUGCGGGUCACAUCAGAUGUGUAAAGCGUUACGAACAAAGCGUUGGAGAACCGUGUGAAAUAUUUUAUUAGAAUUCAUUCCAAACCUUUAACUCGUAGAAAACAAUAUACAUUGUAUUAUCUUUUACUCAAAAUUGUAUUCUUUUUCAACCAAAAAGAUUAAGUCAGUUUUAAAAUGGAGACUGCCGAUAAAGUCUGACUACGAUGUUUUCGUACCGGUACAAUUGUGGAAUGCACAAUACAUUUACAUGCUUUACACAGUUAUAACAAUAUAUGAAUCAACCAUAAAUGACUCAGUGAUGUUGUAAUAAACAUGCAUUUUUUACACGAUAAGAUUGUGUACAAAUACCACACAUACCAUCGGACAACGGCUAUCUGGCUGAAGCUGUCAAUCAAAUUUUGAGUAUUUGAUUUUAUUGGAUGGUGACGCGCCUCUUUUAUGUAAACAGCUAAAUGAAACGAAUUGACCUUAAAGCAGUCGGAAUCAGUAUCUAAUAGUAUUAUUUGAAUGAUAUAGAUUCCAGCGAUUCGAAAAAGAGUGAAAAAUGUACCGUUCAUGCAUACACAUGUAAUAUGAAAUGCGAGAGAAGAAAUAUAAUCAGUGAUUAGAGAUUUCAUUAUAUGACUUCAUUAUUCUUGUUAACUUGAUUUACGGAAAAUAACAAGGAUAUGUUUAAACACAAUAAUUACAAUUAACGUGUACAAGCAUUUCAAACAGGAAAUCCGUAUGCAUGGUACUUAUUAAAAUAGUUAGUAGCAAAUACGCCGUUAUACAAUGUUAGGUCCGAAACACUCUGUAUGUAUAAUGAAAUUAGGUAUACAAAAAUUAAACAAAUUGAAUAGGGCCAUACAAUUACAAGAUUACCCCAAUUCAAGUUAUGCACAGUUACAAUAUCUACAAAAUCAAUGAUUAAAAACGACAUUCUAAGUAUUUUUCGACGAAAUACGUGACUUGUGCACUGCAAACUUUACUCUAUAAAUUAGGGUUUUUUUCUUCACGUUAUUGCAAGAGCGCCGCGGGAAAAAAUAACGUUAUACAACGGCAAAUGACGUAAGGCUGCUACAACGUCACAGUCAGCGUAAGGGGGAAAAGUUAAAAUAACUCGUUUUAAAAUUAAAGAAAAAAAUAUUGCUUGACUUCAUGCAUCAAUUGUUUAUUCUUUAUUGUUUAUUAUGUUACAUCAAAAAUAGUGCGACUUUUUGAAAAUUUAUUUCAAGCUCCGUAAUCUACCGAGCUCAUCCCGUAAAAUCCCGAGCUCUCAGGCUCAAUUGUACAUCGGAUACCUUAACAGGAAAAAGAUCGAAAUCAUCUCAAUGAGUGAUGAUUCAACCACGGAGAGUUACUGCCUUCUGAACAGUAGUUUCGAGAGACAACUGCUAUCUCUUGAGGGAAAUACAAGCACGGCCGUGGCCAGCACCUCCACCGCGGCGAUGGAGCAAGAGGAGCCCGAGAAAUAAUUGGAAAAAUUAACAGAGGCCCCCUUCCCCCCAGACAGGAGGAGAAAAUGGACAUGUUUUAAAAUUAAUAAAUAUUUUUUAAAAGUGUUUGCAUUGUUAGUUGUGUAUAUUGCAAUUGAAUUACUUGAAAGAAAGAAAACCUGG